GGACGAACGCUGGCGGCGUGCUUACCCCAUGCAAUUCGAACGGAAAGGCCCUGCUUUUGUGGGGUGCUCGAGUGGCGAACGGGUGAGUAACACGUGAGUAACCUGCCCUUGACUUUGGGAUAACUUCAGGAAACUGGGGCUAAUACCGGAUAGAAGCUCCUGCUGCAUGGUGGGGGUUGGAAAGUUUCGGCGGUUGGGGAUGGACUCGCGGGUUAUCAGCUUGUUGGUGGGGCAGUGGCUUACCACGGCUUUGACGGGUAGCCGGCCUGAGAGGGUGACCGGCCACAUUGGGACUGCGAUACGGACCAGACUCCUACGGGAGGCAGCAGUGGGGAAUAUUGCACAAUGGGCGGAAGCCUGAUGCAGCAACGCCGCGUGCGGGAUGACGGCCUUCGGGUUGUAAACCGCUUUCGCCUGUGACGAAGCGUGAGUGACGGUAAUGGGUAAAGAAGCACCGGCUAACUACGUG
RNAcentral lists this ribosomal RNA (469 nucleotides) under uncultured bacterium. RNAcentral's name for it is "partial 16S ribosomal RNA". It matches the Rfam family "Bacterial small subunit ribosomal RNA", at positions 27 to 507 of the family's 1533-position model. The record is from RNAcentral.